GACGAACGCUGGCGGCGUGCUUAACACAUGCAAGUCGAACGGAAAGGCCCUGCUUUUGUGGGGUGCUCGAGUGGCGACCGGGUGAGUAACACGUGAGUAACCUGCCCUUGACUUUGGGAUAACUUCAGGAAACUGGGGCUAAUACCGGAUAGGAGCUCCUGCUGCAUGGUGGGGGUUGGAAAGUUUCGGCGGUUGGGGAUGUACUCGCGGCUUAUCAGCUUGUUGGUGGGGUAGUGGCUUACCAAGGCUUUGACGGGUAGCCGGCCUGAGAGGGGGACAGGCCACAUUGGGACUGAAAUAAGGCCCAGACUACUACGGGAGGCAGAAGUGGGGAAGAUUGCACAAUGGGCGGAAGCAUGAUGCAGCAAAGCCGCGUGCGGGAUGACGGCCUUCGGGUUGUAAACCGCUUUCGCCUGUGACGAAGCGUGAGUGACGGUAAUGGGUAAAGAAGCACCGGCUAACUACGUG
This 468-nucleotide ribosomal RNA is filed under the name uncultured bacterium. RNAcentral describes it as "partial 16S ribosomal RNA". It matches the Rfam family "Bacterial small subunit ribosomal RNA", at positions 28 to 507 of the family's 1533-position model. The record is from RNAcentral.